ACAUGCAGUCGAGGGGCAGCAUGAUUUGUAGCAAUACAGAUUGAUGGCGACCGGCGCACGGGUGAGUAACGCGUAUGCAACUUACCUAUCAGAGGGGGAUAGCCCGGCGAAAGUCGGAUUAAUACCCCAUAAAACAGGGGUCCCGCAUGGGAAUAUUUGUUAAAGAUUCAUCGCUGAUAGAUAGGCAUGCGUUCCAUUAGGCAGUUGGCGGGGUAACGGCCCACCAAACCGACGAUGGAUAGGGGUUCUGAGAGGAAGGUCCCCCACAUUGGUACUGAGACACGGACCAAACUCCUACGGGAGGCAGCAGUGAGGAAUAUUGGUCAAUGGCCGAGAGGCUGAACCAGCCAAGUCGCGUGAAGGAAGAAGGAUCUAUGGUUUGUAAACUUCUUUUAUAGGGGAAUAAAGUGGAGGACGUGUCCUUUUUUGUAUGUACCCUAUGAAUAAGCAUCGGCUAACUCCGUGCCAGCAGCCGCGGUAAUACGGAGGAUGCGAGCGUUAUCCGGAUUUAUUGGGUUUAAAGGGUGCGUAGGUGGUGAUUUAAGUCAGCGGUGAAAGUUUGUGGCUCAACCAUAAAAUUGCCGUUGAAACUGGGUUACUUGAGUGUGUUUGAGGUAGGCGGAAUGCGUGGUGUAGCGGUGAAAUGCAUAGAUAUCACGCAGAACUCCGAUUGCGAAGGCAGCUUACUAAACCAUAACUGACACUGAAGCACGAAAGCGUGGGGAUCAAACAGGAUUAGAUACCCUGGUAGUCCACGCAGUAACGAUGAUUACUAGGAGUUUGCGAUACAAUGUAAGCUCUACAGCGAAAGCGUUAAGUAAUCCACCUGGGGAGUACGCCGGCACGGUGAAACUCAAGGAAUUUGACGG
Molecule: ribosomal RNA, 869 nt
Filed under: uncultured bacterium
Lineage: Bacteria
Description: bacterial SSU rRNA
Rfam family: Bacterial small subunit ribosomal RNA
Source: RNAcentral